RNAcentral lists this transfer RNA (74 nucleotides) under Campylaephora sungminbooi. Its description in RNAcentral is "Ceramium sungminbooi tRNA-Trp". It matches the Rfam family "tRNA". Rfam says of the family: Transfer RNA (tRNA) molecules are approximately 80 nucleotides in length. Their secondary structure includes four short double-helical elements and three loops (D, anti-codon, and T loops). Further hydrogen bonds mediate the characteristic L-shaped molecular structure. tRNAs have two regions of fundamental functional importance: the anti-codon, which is responsible for specific mRNA codon recognition, and the 3' end, to which the tRNAs corresponding amino acid is attached (by aminoacyl-tRNA synthetases). tRNAs cope with the degeneracy of the genetic code in two manners: having more than one tRNA (with a specific anti-codon) for a particular amino acid; and 'wobble' base-pairing, i.e. permitting non-standard base-pairing at the 3rd anti-codon position. Lineage: Eukaryota; Rhodophyta; Florideophyceae; Ceramiales; Ceramiaceae. The record is from RNAcentral.
AGGAGAAUAGCUCAAUUGGUUAGAGCUUUGGUUUUCAAAACCAAUGGUUGCGGGUUCAAGUCCUUCUUCUCCUG